This 436-nucleotide small RNA is filed under the name Dacrymyces pachysporus. Its description in RNAcentral is "eukaryotic LSU rRNA". The stretch from base 95 to 254 matches the Rfam family "5.8S ribosomal RNA". The record is from RNAcentral. Lineage: Eukaryota; Fungi; Basidiomycota; Dacrymycetes; Dacrymycetales; Dacrymycetaceae.
AACUCUUCUUAUACCCUCCAGUGAACUGUCCGGCCUAGCCGCAUAUACAAACUCUUGUGUCGUCUAUGUAUGUCUAGUUAUUCAUAACAAGUAUAACUUUUAGCAACGGAUCUCUUGGCUCUCGCAUCGAUGAAGAACGCAGCGAAAUGCGAUAAGUAAUGUGAAUUGCAGAAUUCAGUGAAUCAUCGAAUCUUUGAACGCACCUUGCGCCGUCGGCAGUCUUUGACUGCCAUGGCAUGCCAGUUUGAGCGCCUUAACAGCUUUGCGCUGCGGCUGUGGUCGCAGAGCAGACUUGAGUGCUGCUGACUUGUCAGCUCGCUCUGAAAGCAUUAGCUUCUUGAAAGCCUAAGCAACGUGAUAAGUAUCUUCGUUGUGACUGGCCUGAAAGGACGCUCAGAACCGUCUUCGGACAACACCCAAUGCUAGGCAUCAAAUU